Long non-coding RNA from Sebastes umbrosus (honeycomb rockfish), 136 nucleotides. RefSeq lists it as uncharacterized. The record is from RefSeq and is a predicted model, not a curated record. The transcript is spliced from 4 exons. Lineage: Eukaryota; Metazoa; Chordata; Actinopteri; Perciformes; Sebastidae.
UGUGACUGUGACUGUAAUAAACCCGUCCAAUCAUUUCAUUCAGCCCAAAGGUAAUGAUUGGAGGGUCUACCUAUUUGCGUGCACUCUGCCCAUGCACUCAUUGUGCGUCACCAGAGUCUUUUCCACAAGAUGCUAA